Molecule: ribosomal RNA, 377 nt
Filed under: uncultured bacterium
Lineage: Bacteria
Description: bacterial SSU rRNA
Rfam family: Bacterial small subunit ribosomal RNA
Source: RNAcentral
AUACGUAGGGCGCAAGCGUUGUCCGGAAUUAUUGGGCGUAAAGAGCUCGUAGGCGGUUAGUCGCGUCUGCUGUGAAAACUCGAGGCUCAACCUCGGGCUUGCAGUGGGUGCGGGCUGACUAGAGUGCGGUAGGGGUGACUGGAAUUCCUGGUGUAGCGGUGGAAUGCGCAGAUAUCAGGAGGAACACCAAUGGCGAAGGCAGGUCACUGGGCCGCAACUGACGCUGAGGAGCGAAAGCAUGGGGAGCGAACAGGAUUAGAUACCCUGGUAGUCCAUGCCGUAAACGUUGGGCCCUAGGUGUGGGGUCCAUUCCACGGAUUCCGUGCCGCAGCAAACGCAUUAAGUGCCCCGCCUGGGGAGUACGGCCGCAAGGCUAA